AGGAAUAUUGGUCAAUGGGCGUUAGCCUGAACCAGCCAAGUAGCGUGAAGGAUGAAGGCUCUAUGGGUCGUAAACUUCUUUUAUAUAAGAAUAAAGUGCAGUAUGUAUACUGUUUUGUAUGUAUUAUAUGAAUAAGGAUCGGCUAACUCCGUGCCAGCAGCCGCGGUAAUACGGAGGAUCCGAGCGUUAUCCGGAUUUAUUGGGUUUAAAGGGAGCGUAGGCGGAUUGUUAAGUCAGUUGUGAAAGUUUGCGGCUCAACCGUAAAAUUGCAGUUGAUACUGGCAGUCUUGAGUGCAGUAGAGGUGGGCGGAAUUCGUGGUGUAGCGGUGAAAUGCUUAGAUAUCACGAAGAACUCCGAUUGCGAAGGCAGCUCACUGGAGUGUAACUGACGCUGAUGCUCGAAAGUGUGGGUAUCAAACAGGAUUAGAUACCCUGGUAGUCCACACAGUAAACGAUGAAUACUCGCUGUUUGCGAUAUACAGUAAGCGGCCAAGCGAAAGCGUUAAGUAUUCCACCUGGGGAGUACGCCGGCAACGGUGAAACUCAAAGGAAUUGACGGGGGCCCGCACAAGCGGAGGAACAUGUGGUUUAAUUCGAUGAUACGCGAGGAACCUUACCCGGGCUUGAAUUGCAACUGAAUGAUGUGGAGACAUGUCAGCCGCAAGGCAGUUGUGAAGGUGCUGCAUGGUUGUCGUCAGCUCGUGCCGUGAGGUGUCGGCUUAAGUGCCAUAACGAGCGCAACCCUUAUCGAUAGUUACCAUCAGGUUAUGCUGGGGACUCUGUCGAGACUGCCGUCGUAAGAUGUGAGGAAGGUGGGGAUGACGUCAAAUCAGCACGGCCCUUACGUCCGGGGCUACACACGUGUUACAAUGGGGGGUACAGAAGGCAGCUACACGGCGACGUGAUGCUAAUCCCUAAAGCCUCUCUCAGUUCGGAUUGGAGUCUGCAACCCGACUCCAUGAAGCUGGAUUCGCUAGUAAUCGCGCAUCAGCCACGGCGCGGUGAAUACGUUCCCG
This 1016-nucleotide ribosomal RNA is filed under the name uncultured bacterium. RNAcentral's name for it is "bacterial SSU rRNA". It matches the Rfam family "Bacterial small subunit ribosomal RNA", at positions 357 to 1376 of the family's 1533-position model. The record is from RNAcentral.